GAGGGAUCCUUAGGCCAGUUUCAUUUGACUGUUGACAGACCGUGAAAAAAUUGAUGCAAAUUUUUAAGGUUUAAUUAUUAUUGAAAUUAAAGGAUAUAUUCAAUAUAUUUACUACAUUUCUCCCCGUACGAUAAAACUUCGAAGCUCUCAUCACAGUUGAACUUUUUUCCAUAAUCGGAAAGUUAGGCACAUAUCAAUUUAUCAGAUACAGAAAUGAAAAAAUCCUAGGAUGGCAAUUAUCAUCCCUCGGAGAGACUGUAUUUGGAAUGAAAAUCCUUCUUCAGGGGUAAAGUCCUGAAGCAGUUCGUUCAGGAGAGUUUCUAUUUGAAAUAUAUGAUCCAUUUGUCAAGUUUACAUAAUGUACUUCAGAUCAAAUUACAUGCAAACUCACAGAAUGAGAAACAUCUUUGAUCUUGGUGUAUGAACAUAAGAAUUUCUAGAUAACAAACGGUUCUUGGGGGCACAUAUAAAUUUAUCAGAUCAAGAAAUGUAUAAUAUCAUUUCUCGGACAGUGUUAUUUGGUAAAAAAGAGGUAGUUCAGAGUAAGUUUAUAAAGCAUAUCAUUCAGGAUAGUUUCUAUGUGAAGUAAAUGAUCUAUUUCGCUUUUUUUCAACUGAAUACAACAGAUUUCUGACAACUUCCAUGCAAUCGGGUAGUGUACGGAGAUGAUUUUCUUAGUCUAGAUCUAUGGAAAAAUGUUUUGAGAUAAGUUAUUCAUUUGGAAUGAUAUAAUGAUUAUUGAAACACAAUCUAUGAGUGAGUUUUUGCGUUAAAAUUCUAUAUUUAUAGACAUUUGUCAAGUUUUCUCAUUUAAGGUAAGAUUGUUACUCUUAUCGUAGAGAGAGGGACUCUGUAGGUUUUUGUUCAAAAUAAACUGAAUGAAAUGUUAUAAUA
This is a long non-coding RNA of Coccinella septempunctata (seven-spotted ladybird), 894 nucleotides long. RefSeq lists it as uncharacterized. The record is from RefSeq and is a predicted model, not a curated record. The transcript has 3 exons. NCBI's taxonomy places the organism in Eukaryota, Metazoa, Arthropoda, Insecta, Coleoptera, Coccinellidae.